This 497-nucleotide ribosomal RNA is filed under the name uncultured bacterium. Its description in RNAcentral is "partial 16S ribosomal RNA". It matches the Rfam family "Bacterial small subunit ribosomal RNA", at positions 28 to 507 of the family's 1533-position model. The record is from RNAcentral.
GAUGAACGCUGGCGGCGUGCCUAAUACAUGCAAGUCGAGCGAACAGAUGAGGAGCUUGCUCCUCUGACGUUAGCGGCGGACGGGUGAGUAACACGUGGAUAACCUACCUAUAAGACUGGGAUAACUUCGGGAAACCGGAGCUAAUACCGGAUAAUAUAUUGAACCGCAUGGUUCAAUAGUGAAAGACGGUUUUGCUGUCACUUAUAGAUGGAUCCGCGCCGCAUUAGCUAGUUGGUAAGGUAACGGCUUACCAAGGCAACGAUGCGUAGCCGACCUGAGAGGAUGAUCGGCCACACUGGAACUGAGACACGGUCCAGACUCCUACGGGAGGCAGCAGUAGGGAAUCUUCCGCAAUAGGCGAAAGCCUGACGGAGCAACGCCGCGUGAGUGAUGAAGGUCUUCGGAUCGUAAAACUCUGUUAUUAGGGAAGAACAAAUGUGUAAGUAACUAUGCACGUCUUGACGGUACCUAAUCAGAAAGCCACGGCUAACUACGUG